This 301-nucleotide ribosomal RNA is filed under the name uncultured bacterium. RNAcentral's name for it is "partial 16S ribosomal RNA". It matches the Rfam family "Bacterial small subunit ribosomal RNA", at positions 509 to 809 of the family's 1533-position model. The record is from RNAcentral.
CAGUCGCCACGGUAAUACGUAGGCAGCGAGCGUUGUUCGGAAUUACUGGGCGUAAAGAGUGUGUAGGCGGUGCUAUAAGUUCGGUGUGAAAUCUCCCGGCUCAACUGGGAGGGUGCGCCGAAAACUGUAGUGCUCGAACGUGGGAGAGGAAAGCGGAAUUCCUGGUGUAGCGAUGAAAUGCGUAGAUAUCAGGAGGAACACCUGCGGUGUAGACGGCUUUCUGGACCAUUGUUGACGCUGAGACACGAAAGCGUGGGUAGCAAACAGGAUUAGAUACCCCAGUAGUCCCUGUCUCUUAUAU